GAACUGAAGAGUUUGAUCAUGGCUCAGAUUGAACGCUGGCGGCAGGCCUAACACAUGCAAGUCGAGCGAAUGAAGGGAGCUUGCUCCUGGAUUCAGCGGCGGACGGGUGAGUAAUGCCUAGGAAUCUGCCUGGUAGUGGGGGAUAACGUCCGGAAACGGGCGCUAAUACCGCAUACGUCCUGAGGGAGAAAGUGGGGGAUCUUCGGACCUCACGCUAUCAGAUGAGCCUAGGUCGGAUUAGCUAGUUGGUGGGGUAAAGGCCUACCAAGGCGACGAUCCGUAACUGGUCUGAGAGGAUGAUCAGUCACACUGGAACUGAGA
Molecule: ribosomal RNA, 321 nt
Filed under: Pseudomonas aeruginosa
Lineage: Bacteria; Pseudomonadati; Pseudomonadota; Gammaproteobacteria; Pseudomonadales; Pseudomonadaceae
Description: bacterial SSU rRNA
Rfam family: Bacterial small subunit ribosomal RNA
Source: RNAcentral